ACAGACAGCCCCCUAUGCAGAGCGUGCAUGGAGGCAGAAGAAACGGCCACACAUAUCCUGCUGGAAUGCGGUAGUGUGGCGAACUACAGGGCGAUACACCUCGGGACACCGAGGUCGCUCCGGGAAGUCGUCGGCAACGCAAGGGCCCCCAGCCUACCACGCAAAAUAGGCGCAUUAAGACGUCGAGUUGCGGAGAAUAGCCCGUGGAGAAUCAAUCAAUCAAUCAA
Molecule: unclassified non-coding RNA, 227 nt
Filed under: Melitaea cinxia (Glanville fritillary)
Lineage: Eukaryota; Metazoa; Arthropoda; Insecta; Lepidoptera; Nymphalidae
Description: misc RNA ENSMCXG00005013826.1
Source: RNAcentral